This 1460-nucleotide long non-coding RNA is filed under the name Junco hyemalis (dark-eyed junco). RNAcentral describes it as "lncRNA (ENSJHYG00000008442.1)". Lineage: Eukaryota; Metazoa; Chordata; Aves; Passeriformes; Passerellidae. The record is from RNAcentral.
AGGAGAUUAACAUCAAGGAGCCCACAUUUGCAAUAGCGGGUGGUGCUGGGGGGAGAGGCGAGGGGAAAAUAAAAUAAAAGCAACAAUCGGGUAAAUGCUCCUCUCUUCUCGCCACCAGCACCUUGCACAGGUCUGAAAUCGCUUGUUUUGCUUUGCUGUAUUGCGCUUGCCUGGGCUGUGGAGAGGGGAGGGGGAGGGGAGGAAGGGGGAGGUUUAACUUUUACUUGACAUUACCGGGUUAUUGUCACUUCCCCCGUGUUAAACCCCGGCGGUUUCCCCUCGCCCCCACCCCCUCCCCGGGCUCGGCUCCCUCCAGUUAACUUUGUUCAAAGGGCUGCAGCCGGGAGGGCUUGUCCGGGCCUGGGACACAGAUAGCGUAAAGUAAAUAACCACCACAAUUAGGCUGGGGCCGCGAGUUGAUCUUCGUGGCGAGAGAUCUGCUUAGUUAGCGUUUGCUGUUUCGGGGCGAUUGAAGGCCGCCGUGCCAAGGACACGCACACGCACACACACAGACACACACAGUCACUCUUACACACGCACGCUGGAUACAAAAGUCUGGAGGAUCUAGGGGAGAAUUGCAGCCGCCGGAUCAGUGCAGCAGCCGCGGCCAGAGCCAUGCGUGUCACGGCCUCCUGAGGGGGGAAAAGGAAGGAAGGGAGGAAGGAGGAAAAAACAAAAGAGAGAAAGAAAGAAGGAAAAAAGAAAAGAGGGAGAAAGGAAAGGAGAAGAAAGACGCGGGGUGGUGGAAAGUGUUUGCCUGCUUUUGUCUCGCAAUACAGUGAACUGGAAGAUGGAGAUGGAUGUUAAGGGAGUUUCUCCGUGCCCGGAGCCCAUCCCCCCGGCGGCGGGGUCUGGCGGCUGCCCGCACCAGCGCCCGCACCACCGCGAUGGGCAGCCCGCGGAGCCGGCCCCCGCCGCCGACAGCGGCCACCCGGAGCGGAGGCACGGCACUGAGAAAGAGGACAAAAAGGCAUCUACACAGAAGCAUUCUGGAUUUCAUUUGGCAUGGUGCUUGUGACUGAUUACAAAAUCUGCUGCUGAAGCAACUUUAGAAGUGGUGGAAGACCUAUGGUUGUGGAUCCUUUGCACAUAUAAAUGUUAUUGUGUGUGUCUGUUUGACCAUGGUAGGAUAUUUAAUGUAUCAUAGAAACAAGUUUUGUAUCUCCAUUUCAGUGUCCUUCUCAUCAUAGAACCUUCCUUUCAAACAUAUUUUCCUUUGUUUGAGUCUUUAAAAUACCUUGAAAACCCGAAACCUUGAAAAAUUGUAACACUCUAUGAGAAAUAUACACUAUUGUCAUCUUCUGGGGAAAAGGGGAACUUUACUGUGUCCGCUGUUUUUGUAAGUGAAAUGUGGUGUACAGCAUGCUAAGUAACUGCUCAGUCAAAUGUCAGUGUAAAUUCAGAAAUCCUCAGAAGAGGAAAGAAAUAAAUAUUUUUAUUUUCUCUAAAAGCUUCCCUGU